ACAAUGCGUUCUCCUUUCUUCCUCUCCACUAAUCUGUACUUCUAAGAGGUGUUGAGUUUCGGCCAAACUUUCUGCUCGGCUCGCAUCAAAGGCUGCCCUCUUGUGAAUAGCCAGCUCUCACCUAAUGAUCUCCCUACUCACUCCUGACCAGGACGCAGGUCAUUCCCCAUAAUAAUUAGCUCACAGGCAGAGUUUCCAGGCGCUUCCAGGAGCAUCAAUCACCGGGAUGAAUGGGAAGCCCGUGUGUGGGAACUGCAGGGGGAGCUGGGUGCAGAGCCACCUCAGCCCUGUCACCCUGCGCGUGUCUCUGCCAUGCUUCCUUGGAUCCCUAUCUACCCCGUUUUGGGUGACAGGACGAGUUGGGCCAGUUACCAGGAUCUUGUCGCCUGGUUCUGAUGGUGUCUUGGUUCCCGGCUGGGGUUUUGUGUUUACCACGAGCGUUGCCUGCUGUCGGGGAGCUGCGUGUGUUUCACAACAAACAGGGAGCCAGGGAGACCACCCUGCGGGGCUGCCCCUUCCCUCAGCGCUUUCUGCUUGGGUCGCUGGCGUCUUGCAGUGCCUUCGUUCGUCUGUGGUGUGAGGUGCUGGUCCAGGCUUACGCGCUAACAGUGAAUUAGAAGGAGAAAACGCUCUGCGAGUGCAGCGGAAGGAGGAAGUCCAGAGCCACGGAAAUUCGGUAAGGAUCGGAUAAGGGCAAUAAAAUCGCAGCUCUAAAUCUUUUCAUGGAGUUGAAGACAGACGUUUGACUGUGGGAGCCAUCUCAUCUUUAUAACCUGCCUGAGUCGAAGCUGUUAAAGAGGCCAAGAAUUCCCAAGCUUUCCCAGGCAAACGGGGAAGAACACUGGGAUGCCUUUUCCUCCUCCUCUGUCCAUCUGCAGGCCAAGUGUGCAUCAGUCACAGGCAAACUCUGAAUUGAGCUUUGUGCAAGUCUCUGGAAAGAGACCCAAGAUCGUGUGAUGAGCAAAAGUGACAGUGCUGGAGGCAGCGACAUCUGCAGAGCCAGCCCCAUCCCUAUCUGCAGCAGAAUAUGUAUGGGGAUCCUUUAUGUGAACAAUCCACCCAGGGUAGAAUGGGGCUUUUGACAUCAGCUGAGACCCAGGCGGCCUUACAAUGAGAGGGCUGUUGGUCAAAGGAAGGACUGUUUAAUGAACUGAGAAUCUGAGGCCAGCUCUGGCCAUCUGCACUUGGAAUCAUUAGAGCAACUCUACUGUAACUGGCAACCUUGAAUAAUGCAGCAAAUUCAUAUUCCAAAAUUGUGAACUUUAAAAUUUUGUGUUUGUGUCUAUGAUGAAAAGCAUUAUAUAAACAUUUGAUACUACAAUUUUAUUAGUAAGGAAGGCUGAAAAA
This is a long non-coding RNA of Homo sapiens (human), 1347 nucleotides long. Ensembl annotates it as long intergenic non-protein coding RNA 1301. NCBI's taxonomy places the organism in Eukaryota, Metazoa, Chordata, Mammalia, Primates, Hominidae. The record is from Ensembl.